This 82-nucleotide small RNA is filed under the name Flavobacterium noncentrifugens. RNAcentral describes it as "Flavo-1 RNA". It matches the Rfam family "Flavo-1 RNA". Lineage: Bacteria; Pseudomonadati; Bacteroidota; Flavobacteriia; Flavobacteriales; Flavobacteriaceae. The record is from Rfam by way of RNAcentral.
CCCUAGCCGCGAUUGCAGCCGGUAUCCUUUUUUGACUGAGGAACGAAGGCGAAAAAGAUAAAGGCGGAAAGCGGGAAUCAGC